Schistocerca gregaria is the source of this 5525-nucleotide long non-coding RNA. RefSeq lists it as uncharacterized. Lineage: Eukaryota; Metazoa; Arthropoda; Insecta; Orthoptera; Acrididae. The transcript has 4 exons. The record is from RefSeq and is a predicted model, not a curated record.
CCGAGGUUGCCACACCGGUUCCCUGGAGGCCACGCCAGUAGGUGUCUAGAUGGCAGCAUUCACAUGCAGCGAGCUCUGACCACGCUACUGUGUGGUCUCGUGGCGGCGACUUCUCCACCCUCAGCUGAGUUCGCGAGUUUUUGGUGAUUUUUUCGAAAAUCGAAAACCAGUAACGAGCGAUCGCUACAGCCUCACCCCUGCGACGCGGGAGCAAGUGGAGACCAUUAGGAAAAAUCUGGGGACAGACGAAGAGGACAUCAAGAGGACCAUAGCGUCUGUGCAAGACUGGCUCAGGAUGCAGCCGCAUCUGCCCGACGAGAUAGCAAGCUGCUGACGAUGCCUGGCCUCACGGACCAGCUCUACCGGGUGCACGCCAUCGGAGACGCCGACCCGGACCCCGCGUGGGUGUCGUGGCCAAAUUACGGAAAAAUCGUCUCCAUAAACCUCGACAUGAUGUUAUUUAAUGACUACUCGCUCGGAGACAUCGUCAUAGUGGACCUGAAGAACCUGACUGCUGGACGCGCCCUCCAGACCGAUAUCAGUAUCAUACGCGCUAUUGAAUUUGGCUACAAGAUGAAUUCAUCAGUAGGGUGGAGGAGAAGAGAGACUGGUUCGUGGAGCAGGACCGCUACACCUCGGACGAGAGCAAGAGGCCCCCAGACAACCACUACGCCGACGGUUUGUUCGGAGUGGCGGGAUCCUUCAAGAAGCUCUCAGUGGACUGACGCCUCCACCGAGAAUCCACCAACGAAAUUUCAGAAUCUGUUAUGUGAUAAUUUAUGAGUGUUUUGGUAUAACAGACCCAUGGCCUUCGAUGAUUCGUUAUAGAGUAACAACAUAUUUUUUAUAUUUUCUUAUUGAGGUCUGCAGUCGAAAACUGGUUUGGUACAGAACCAAAUGCUAGUCUAUCCUCUGCACAAACUCCUUCACCUCUCCAUAUGUACAGCACCGGACGUCCAUCUGUGGAUGUCUUUGUUUAACCGAUCCCUUCUUUUAGUCGAAUUGUACCCUUUCAUUAAUUAUUCGACCUACUCAUCUAAUCUAUAGCAUUCUUUUUAGCACCACAUUUAAAACACUUCUAUCCUCUUAUUACUCGAACAUUUGAUCGUCCACGUUUCGCUUCAGUACAAUGCUACACUCCAGACAAAUACCUUCAGAAAAAAGAUUAAAAUAUUUAUAAUUAUCGUUAACAAAUUUGUAUUUUUCACAAAUGGUUUUUUUUCAGCUGCCAGUUCGCAUUUUAUGAUCUCCCUACUUCGACCAUUAUCAUUUAUUUCACUAAUCAAGCAGCAAAACGCAUCUACUAUGGUCAGUCACUUUCUGAUCUACUUCCCCAUGCUUGCCAGAUUCAGUUGCCUGAACUUUAUUUCUCGUUCCAAGUUUCUCCUUAAUUUUCUUUACUGCCUCAAUGUACAGACUGAAUUCCGUCUGUGAUAGCUUACAGCCCUCCUGAACUACCAGUUUCCCUUUGUGCCUUUCAAGCCUUGCAACUCCAGCCAAUUCUCUGUACAAGCUUCUCACUACUUGCAUUCUUUUCCUUUUACCUUCACAGUUUCCCAAACCCAAACGCAUCUUUCUCAAGGUCGACUUCUACCAAUUUUUCCAUUCUUCUGCAACUUGUUCGUGCCAGCAUUUUGUAACCAUUUUAUUAACAGAUGGCUCUCUAAUAUUCAUACCUCACAGCACCUACCUUCUCAGAAACAGAAAUAAUCGCUGUCUUCUUGUUUUCUCCGUCCCCCCCCCCCCUUCCUACUUUGUAUUUCCAUUGAAAUGAAAAUCUCUAUAACUAGCAACCAGAGAGCACAACUCUCUUAUACAGAAAUACUUAGGAAAUGUUGUUGAUCAUCGCCUGAAAUUUUGUCAGCGGUUCGGGUUCACCCAGAUAAGUGAUAAGCGUGCCCUCCUACAGGGACAAGGUCUACGGGACCUCCACCAUGUCACUGCGUGAAUCUGUAUUUUCAUUCAUUCUAGUUGUAAAGCAAUCGUGAGUGUAACAAUUAAAAUGUUAAUUUAUGUGAGUUGUGAUGUAUGCCUUUUUGGCUACUCAACUAUUUUUCCAUCGUAUGGAUUGCACGCAAUUCUCAUUGCGUACUCAAUUACUGGAUAACCGUUAAUGACAUUUUUGGAAAAGGUGCAUCACAAAGGUGGGUCGAAGGAAAUGAACUGUCCACAAUCCAGAAAAUUUUUUGUAAUUUCUAAGCACUUGUCUUAAAAAUUCAGUGUAGUCCAGUUUUUCAUGAUGUUCCAUAAACUAACCUUUAAGCUGGGUGUCACGUUGAAAUACAGUUACUUCAUUUAUCAAAUGAUUUUAUGAAACCUAAAUUAGGAGAAUAGUUUCAGAUCAUCUUGUUCAACAUGCCAAGGUUUCUAUAAUAGACUGAAACAGCCUUCAAGACCUCUAACAUCCGCAACUGUGGUUUUUAUCUCUUCCAAAUGUUCUCUCAAAGAGGACUCCACGCCUUGAUACAUUUUUUUGACAAUAGUUAAGCCUGACAGGAGCAUACUAACAGCCGAAAAAUUAGAAAAACUUUUUGCUUAAAGUUCAUUUACACACAACUGCAGUUUACCUUCAGAUGCAAUUAUUUAAUCAGUCCUUCGCUCAAUUAUGUUACUUGGAUCUCGUAAUUCCAUAUACGGUUUGGUUUAAUUUUUGUGUAAUAUAAGACAAAAAAACUGUAAGAGCCGAUAAUUAUUAGUUAUGAAGUUUAUCAGAAUUUUAACUGCGUUGUAAACAGUUUCACAUUUCAGAUUGCAAACAUUUUAUAGCAAUUUUCCGUUGCUUAGCCAUCUUGCAGAAGAAUGCAGGACUACAUCACCGCAACAAGUUUGCCGUUCCUGCACUGGUUCUUAGAUUUCCUGUUUUUAAUUUCACGUGUACUAGUUAAGUUUAUAACACUUAGGAAAGUUGCAGACCGUCCUUCAGUUUGUUAUUUGAAAUACGACAUUAAGUCAAAUUUUCCUGAUGCAGUAAGCAGUGAACGAAGCAUAAAUUUCGAAAAUUCCAUUCCAUUCAGCGUUACCAAACCACUGUUUACACCCGUCAUUGAUACACUGACAUUAAGUUUGCUCUUAGGUAAGCCAUUUUCUCUACAUUAUUUUUAUUAGCAUCUAUAAAAUUACAGUCUUUUGUGUGAUCUCUCAUGGUUACAACUAAUAUGAAAUCAUCGUCUAAUAUCUCAUCAUUUGUGAGCAAUGCAUAAAAAAACGAAAACGGAGCCAUAAAAGCUAUAUUUGAACUGGAAUAACACGAAAGAAUAUUUUAACAUUUUAUCUUUAAUACUCAUUCCCUCAAGAAUACCUUUUUAAAUAUCUUCUAUGCGGUGGUGACAGGAAGCUUCCGAAAAGAUAAGUUUUCUUAUUUCAGACAAUAUUUGUUUACUACUUGAGAAACGUUGAAACAAAAUUUGAGAAACAAUUACCAACAUUGCAUCACUAAUUCAGCGUCAGUGAAAGAUUUGAAAAUUUGUGGAAUAAUUUUAAGUUCUACAUUGGAUGCUUACAUGACAGCCUCAUUUUGCUGAACUGUUACUGAUUUUAGAUCAGCAAUUUUUCCCUUUCUUUAAUUUCAAUGCAAAUAAAUAGAAAUUAACUUUGCUUACUGGCGUAGUGCCGAAAUAAGUCGUAUGUCUUUCGCCGCACAACCAGUUCCUGUCGUAAAACAAAUAGCAAUAACGUUUCCGUGUACACUUACAAAACGGAAUUAUUUCUCCCAUUUUUUUUUGUUGAUCACACACUGGACUCUUUUAUUCUAAUGGAGAUAAUCACAACACAGACGAGCGCAAAUACGCUUCCAACACGAAGAACGCACAGGAACAUCAAAACUUACCGCAAGAUUGACCCUGUUUGGCAUGAUAAAGCUAAGGGACGGCGGCAAGGAAGCGGGGAUGGUACGUCGCCAUUCUUGGCGUAUUCCUUGUGCACAUCUCACCUCUAAUGACAUACUCCGCAAUUCCUUCUCAUAAACACCUACAACCCUCAGGUCAAUAACAACAGGUGACGAAAGCGAGAACUGGGGUUAACUGUUGCAGUACCACAAAAGAAUUCAAGAAUAGAACUAGUACGAAUUGAGUGUCAUUGCUUUGCUAAUGGAGAGACGAGUUCUGUUUGGCCAUGAAAUAUUACAACAUUAGCCACGAGAACGACAGGAAAAUUAUCGUAUGUUUAGUGGUCACUGACAAAAAUGAUGCCCCAAGAGAGAAUGUGUUACAUAUGUUUACUUAUAUUCAAAUAAAUGAAAGUCGUUAACUCGCCAACUAAUUCUUUUACUAGCCAAUUUAAUAGCCAGUCGCCAGAAAGUUAAAGCUGGCUAGUACCUAAAAAGAACUAAACAAAAGAAAUAGCCAGGAGUGUGAAAAACCGCCGUAUCUAGCAAUCCUGUCGCAGCAGAUAGUGUGGCGGGCAGAUGGUAACUAUGCGGAGCUCGGAAGCAAGAUUGCAAGAUACGAUUGCUCAGUCAGAUACCAGACAAUACCUGCUCUUAACUGUCAAGUGCAAGGUAUUUGUAAUCACAUUAUUUAUUACUUGUUUAUUGAGAUUAUUCUCUAUACUAAGGUUUUUCUCCAACAUAACAAAUACCUAUAAAUUAUUAUCUCUGUUACGUUAAGACCUUAAUUUAUCUCCUCAGGAUGUCCCUCCAGGUGUUUCAAUCUUGUAUAUCCUCUCCCUCCGCGCCAAUUCUUCUCAUUGCUAAUUGUACAUUUUGGAGGUAGGUGAUCGCAGGGUCUCCUCUUCUUUCCCUCGGGUUCCCAUUCAAGGACUAUUUUCGGUAUUCUGGCUUCCUCCAUUUAUCUUACAUGCCUGUACCAUUGUAACUUCCUUCUGCCCAUAGUUUCAUGUAUUUUUUAUCUUACUUCCAUUCUCUUUAUUAUUUAGUCGUUUGUUGCUUUCUCUUUUCUAGAGAUUCUUGCUGUUCUACAGAAGUGAGUUUCCACUGCUUGCAGUCUUUUUAAGUGUUUCAGAUUAAUAGUCCAUUUCUCUAUUCCAUACAUAACUAGUACCGAUUUUUAUAUGAUUCUCUUUGUUCUGAUCAUUACAUUUCUGCUCCAUAGGAUUGAAUUGAGCAUCUCAAUUACCUUCCUCCACUGCUAAAUCCUUCAUUAAUUUCCGCCACUGAUUUCGCCACCAUGUCUAAAGCGGGUCCCAAAUUAUAGAAAGUUUCACCUUCUUAAUUCUCUCUCCCUCCCUCUCCCUCUCCCUAUAAGUCAUCAGGAUCAUGAGUGAAGUAUUCUGUUUUCUGAUAAUUAACCCUCAAUCCCCAGUUUCUGCAUCCAUUGCUACCUCAUUAUGUAUAUAAUUUGAAUCCUCCCUAUCUUUUUUUACAUCUGUUUGAUCAUCAGCAGAUAACAAAGUGAUGUAGAUAAACUCCGUCUUCAAUUUCUAUCAAACCCCAUUGCAUUUGCGAGUCCAUGUCUUAAGACUUACGUCUAUAUAGACUUUAAAUAUGGUUGGUGACAUGGGGCAGCAUUAUAACAGACUCUUGUAAUCACAUUAUAAUUGCAAUAAAGAACUACAACGUGUUGGGUAAA